Molecule: ribosomal RNA, 674 nt
Filed under: Shigella sp.
Lineage: Bacteria; Pseudomonadati; Pseudomonadota; Gammaproteobacteria; Enterobacterales; Enterobacteriaceae
Description: bacterial SSU rRNA
Rfam family: Bacterial small subunit ribosomal RNA
Source: RNAcentral
CGAACGGUAACAGGAAGCAGCUUGCUUCUUGCUGACGAGUGGCGGACGGGUGAGUAAUGUCUGGGAAACUGCCUGAUGGAGGGGGAUAACUACUGGAAACGGUAGCUAAUACCGCAUAACGUCGCAAGACCAAAGAGGGGGACCUUCGGGCCUCUUGCCAUCGGAUGUGCCCAGAUGGGAUUAGCUUGUGGUGGGGUAACGGCUCACCAGGCGACGAUCCCUAGCUGGUCUGAGAGGAUGACCAGCCACACUGGAACUGAGACACGGUCCAGACUCCUACGGGAGGCAGCAGUGGGGAAUAUUGCACAAUGGGCGCAAGCCUGAUGCAGCCAUGCCGCGUGUAUGAAGAAGGCCUUCGGGUUGUAAAGUACUUUCAGCGGGGAGGAAGGGAGUAAAGUUAAUACCUUUGCUCAUUGACGUUACCCGCAGAAGAAGCACCGGCUAACUCCGUGCCAGCAGCCGCGGUAAUACGGAGGGUGCAAGCGUUAAUCGGAAUUACUGGGCGUAAAGCGCACGCAGGCGGUUUGUUAAGUCAGAUGUGAAAUCCCCGGGCUCAACCUGGGAACUGCAUCUGAUACUGGCAAGCUUGAGUCUCGUAGAGGGGGGUAGAAUUCCAGGUGUAGCGGUGAAAUGCGUAGAGAUCUGGAGGAAUACCGGUGGCGAAGGCGGCCCCC